RNAcentral lists this ribosomal RNA (497 nucleotides) under uncultured bacterium. RNAcentral's name for it is "partial 16S ribosomal RNA". It matches the Rfam family "Bacterial small subunit ribosomal RNA", at positions 28 to 507 of the family's 1533-position model. The record is from RNAcentral.
GAUGAACGCUGGCGGCGUGCCUAAUACAUGCAAGUCGAGCGAACAGACGAGGAGCUUGCUCCUCUGACGUUAGCGGCGGACGGGUGAGUAACACGUGGAUAACCUACCUAUAAGACUGGGAUAACUUCGGGAAACCGGAGCUAAUACCGGAUAAUAUAUUGAACCGCAUGGUUCAAUAGUGAAAGACGGUUUUGCUGUCACUUAUAGAUGGAUCCGCGCCGCUUUAGCUAGUGGGUAAGGUAACGGCUUACCAAGGCGACGAUGCGUAGCCGACCUGAGAGGGUGAUCGGCCACACUGGAACUGAGACACGGUCCAGACUCCUACGGGAGGCAGCAGUAGGGAAUCUUCCGCAAUGGGCGAAAGCCUGACGGAGCAACGCCGCGUGAGUGAUGAAGGUCUUCGGAUCGUAAAACUCUGUUAUUAGGGAAGAACAAAUGUGUAAGUAACUAUGCACGUCUUGACGGUACCUAAUCAGAAAGCCACGGCUAACUACGUG